Molecule: ribosomal RNA, 475 nt
Filed under: unidentified nematode Sourhope farm
Lineage: Eukaryota; Metazoa; Nematoda
Description: SSU rRNA
Rfam family: Eukaryotic small subunit ribosomal RNA
Source: RNAcentral
UCUAAGUAUAACCUGCCAGACAGGGAAACUGCGUACGGCUCAUUACACCAGCCUUAAUUUACUUGACCUUGACAACCUACUUGGAUAACUGUGGUAAUUCUAGAGCUAAUACAUGCACCAAAGCUCCGAUCCUCGCGGAGAGGAGCGCAUUUGUUCGCCACAAAACCAAGCGCCCAUCUGGGCGUCCAGUGCUGAACCAGAACAACUCAGCUGAUCGCACGGUCUUGUACCGGCGACGUGUCUUUCAAGUGUCUGCCUUAUCAACUUUCGAUGGUAGUGUACCUGACUACCAUGGUUGUGACGGGUAACGGAGGAUAAGGGUUCGACUCCGGAGAAGGGGCCUGAGAAAUGGCCACUACGUCUAAGGAUGGCAGCAGGCGCGCAAAUUACCCACUCUCAACGCGAGGAGGUACUGACGAGAAAUAACGAGACCGUUCUCAUACGAGGCCGGUUAUUGGAAUGGGUACAAUUUAAA